UUGACACCGCGUGAACAAAACAUGACUGGAAUAGAGACCUCACUGGGGAGUGAAGGACUCUCACUGGAAAAGAAGAAAUUCCAAAGGAAGACACAUCCAUUGGAAAGACAUAAGCUGACUCAAACUAUCCACAAAGGAUACUUCGGAUAAAAAUCCAGACUCGGACCAAGGAACAGAUUCACAAAGAAUCUCCCUGCCGGGCAGAUUGCAUAUAUUGGGGAAAACGCCAAUACAGCAGAAAGGGUAAAAAUCACCACAAG
This 260-nucleotide long non-coding RNA is filed under the name Lathyrus oleraceus (garden pea). RNAcentral describes it as "Pisum sativum (pea) long non-coding RNA (PSAT_LNC014188)". Lineage: Eukaryota; Viridiplantae; Streptophyta; Magnoliopsida; Fabales; Fabaceae. The record is from RNAcentral.